Molecule: non-coding RNA, 534 nt
Organism: Neopelma chrysocephalum (saffron-crested tyrant-manakin)
Lineage: Eukaryota; Metazoa; Chordata; Aves; Passeriformes; Pipridae
Source: the annotation of a RefSeq genome assembly
GAGGAGGCGGAGAGGAGGCGGCCCGCCCGGAGCAGAGAGCCGUGGCUGGCGGGGGCAGCGAGACGCCGGGCGGCGGAUCGGCGGAUGCGGCUCUGGCGGGGAGCGGGGCUGGUGGCGCUGGCCGCGGUUCUGCUCGGAGCGCAGGUCUGGCGGCCGGGGACCGUGGGGCCGCGGCUGGGGCUGGGAGCCCAGGUGCAGCAGGACCCAUUGCUAGAGACCACCGAGGGCAGUGAAAUCACCAUCAAGUGCUCAAACGCAAACAUACGAAUCGGGGAUUUUAUCCAUUUCUACCGGCAACUGCCGGGCCACAGCCCCGAGCUCCUCGCACGCGCUGCUAAAGGGUCCAGAGAGCUGCGGGCGCCAGCCUGGCUGCUCUUUGUGUCGGAAGAUCCUCUUUGGAAAAUCCUCUGGCUCUCCGGGCCCCGUCAUGGGGAGGCGGCGCUGUAUUCCUGCGCCCUGGCGGACACGGACCCGUUGACACCGUCUUCCUCGGAGCUUUCAGGGGAUUUUCUCAGAAACACACAUCUCGGUUAA